This 491-nucleotide ribosomal RNA is filed under the name uncultured bacterium. Its description in RNAcentral is "partial 16S ribosomal RNA". It matches the Rfam family "Bacterial small subunit ribosomal RNA", at positions 29 to 507 of the family's 1533-position model. The record is from RNAcentral.
GUGCACGCUGGCGGUAGGCCUCACCCCUGCAAGUCGCACGGCAGCACAGUAAGAGCUUGCUCUUACGGGUGGCGAGUGGCGGACGGGUGAGGAAUACAUCGGAAUCUACUUUUUCGUGGGGGAUAACGUAGGGAAACUUACGCUAAUACCGCAUACGACCUACGGGUGAAAGCAGGGGAUCUUCGGACCUUGCGCGAUUGAAUGAGCCGAUGUCGGAUUAGCUAGUUGGCGGGGUAAAGGCCCACCAAGGCGACGAUCCGUAGCUGGUCUGAGCGGAUGAUCAGCCACACUGGAACUGAGACACGGUCCAGACUCCUACGGGAGGCAGCAGUGGGGAAUAUUGGACAAUGGGCGCAAGCCUGAUCCAGCCAUACCGCGUGGGUGAAGAAGGCCUUCGGGUUGUAAAGCCCUUUUGUUGGGAAAGAAAAGCAGCAGGUUAAUACCCCGCUGUUCUGACGGUACCCAAAGAAUAAGCACCGGCUAACUUCGUG